RNAcentral lists this ribosomal RNA (595 nucleotides) under Adelie penguin guano bacterium 81. RNAcentral's name for it is "bacterial SSU rRNA". It matches the Rfam family "Bacterial small subunit ribosomal RNA", at positions 93 to 686 of the family's 1533-position model. The record is from RNAcentral.
GAGCGGCGGACGGGUGAGUAAUACUUAGGAAUCUACCUAGUAGUGGGGGAUAGCUCGGGGAAACUCGAAUUAAUACCGCAUACGACCUACGGGAGAAAGGGGGCAACUUGUUGCUCUCGCUAUUAGAUGAGCCUAAGUCGGAUUAGCUAGAUGGUGGGGUAAAGGCCUACCAUGGCGACGAUCUGUAGCUGGUCUGAGAGGAUGAUCAUCCACACCGGGACUGAGACACGGCCCGGACUCCUACGGGAGGCAGCAGUGGGGAAUAUUGGACAAUGGGGGCAACCCUGAUCCAGCCAUGCCGCGUGUGUGAAGAAGGCCUUUUGGUUGUAAAGCACUUUAAGCAGUGAAGAAGACUCUAUGGUUAAUACCCAUAGACGAUGACAUUAGCUGCAGAAUAAGCACCGGCUAACUCUGUGCCAGCAGCCGCGGUAAUACAGAGGGUGCAAGCGUUAAUCGGAAUUACUGGGCGUAAAGCGAGCGUAGGUGGCUUGAUAAGUCAGAUGUGAAAUCCCCGGGCUUAACCUGGGAACUGCAUCUGAUACUGUUAGGCUAGAGUAGGUGAGAGGAAGGUAGAAUUCCAGGUGUAGCGGUGAAA